GAUGAAGAACGUAGCGAAAUGCGAUACGUAAUGUGAAUUGCAGAAUUCAGUGAAUCAUCGAAUCUUUGAACGCAUAUUGCGCUCUCUGGUAUUCCGGAGAGCAUGCUUGUUUGGGUAUCAGUAAACACCUCAACUUCCAUAUCUUUUUUGAAAUGGGAGUUGGACUUGAGUGAUCCCAACGCUUUUCCUCACCGAAAAGUGGCGGGUUACUUGAAAUGCAGGUGCAGCUGGACUUUUCUCUGAGCUAUAAGCAUAUCUAUUUAGUCUGCCUAAAAAACAGAUUAUUACCUUUGCUGCAGCUAACAUAAAGGAGAUUAGUUCUUGUGCUGACUGAUGCAGGAUUCACAAAGACAGGCUUCGGCCGACUUUGUAAACUCGAUCUCAAAUCAAGUAAGACUACCCGCUGAACUUAAGCAUAUCAAUAAGCGGAGGA
RNAcentral lists this unclassified non-coding RNA (433 nucleotides) under soil metagenome. RNAcentral describes it as "partial contains 5.8S ribosomal RNA, internal transcribed spacer 2, and large subunit ribosomal RNA". The stretch from base 1 to 120 matches the Rfam family "5.8S ribosomal RNA", at positions 35 to 154 of the family's 154-position model. The record is from RNAcentral.